UGGGGAAUCUUGGACAAUGGGCGAAAGCCUGAUCCAGCCAUGCCGCGUGAGUGACGAAGGUCUUCGGAUUGUAAAGCUCUUUUGGCGGGGACGAUAAUGACGGUACCCGCAGAAUAAGCCCCGGCUAACUUCGUGCCAGCAGCAGCGGUAAUACGAGUGCCCCGAGCGUUAUCCGGAAUCAUUGGGCGUAAAGGGUGUGUAGGUGGCAUUGUUAGUCACACGUUAAACCCUGGGGCUUAACCCCAGAUCUGCGUGUGAUACGGCAAAGCUAGAGGAUGGCAGGGAUGUAUGGAACUCAUGGAGUAGGGGUGAAAUCCGUUGAUAUCAUGGGGAACACCGAAAGCGAAGGCAGUACAUUGGGCCACUCCUGACACUGAAACACGAAAGCGUGGGUAGCGAAUGGGAUUAGAUACCCGCGUAGUCCCUGAGCGGGCUGGCAAGGCGCAU
This 447-nucleotide ribosomal RNA is filed under the name uncultured bacterium. Its description in RNAcentral is "bacterial SSU rRNA". It matches the Rfam family "Bacterial small subunit ribosomal RNA", at positions 355 to 825 of the family's 1533-position model. The record is from RNAcentral.